UCCGAACCGAGCGAACGUUGUUCGGAAUCACUGGGCUUAAAGGGCGCGUAGGCGGGUGCGCCCGUCUGCGGUGAAAGCCUCCAGCUUAACUGGAGAAGGGCCGUGGAUACUGCACAUCUUGAGGAGGGUAGGGGCAUCUGGAACGGUCGGUGGAGCGGUGAAAUGCGUUGAUAUCGACCGGAACUCCGGUGGCGAAGGCGAGGUGCUGGACCCUUUCUGACGCUGAGGCGCGAAAGCCAGGGGAGCAAACGGG
This 253-nucleotide ribosomal RNA is filed under the name uncultured bacterium. Its description in RNAcentral is "partial 16S ribosomal RNA". It matches the Rfam family "Bacterial small subunit ribosomal RNA", at positions 524 to 776 of the family's 1533-position model. The record is from RNAcentral.